UGCACCAUAUAAGGUGCCAUGGGGUGGAGCAAGCCCUUGAAGGAGAGCAGGGUCACUGUGAAGGGGGACAGAUGUCAGUGGAACAGAUCGCAUCUGAGACAGCAGCUUACAUGGGAUGCUCACACAGCCGGCCUACCACAGGCUGGGCUUUCCUAUUCCAUGGGAGUAAAACACCCGAGAUAUAUUGGCUUUGGUGGGAGGGAGUGGGGCAUGGUCUGUGAAGGAAGCCAUGCUGGUGUCUCCAGCAGGCAAGCCCUCUGUCCUUCCGGUGGGCACCCACAGUGCAUGCUCCUCAGAUGCUGUCCGCUUUCACACCUGCACUGUGCUUCAGUGUGGAACCUUCACACAGCAUGAACUCCUGUCACCUGGGCGCUCUCUGUCCUCUCUGACAACCAUGAGUUUGGUGACUGAGCAUGGAAGAAACUCAUGUCAAAUGUUUGCAUGGUACUAAUACCUCGUGUUACUACUCUGAACUCAAGAGGCUUUUAAAAAAAAAAAAA
Molecule: long non-coding RNA, 500 nt
Filed under: Rattus norvegicus (Norway rat)
Lineage: Eukaryota; Metazoa; Chordata; Mammalia; Rodentia; Muridae
Description: long non-coding RNA NONRATT010693
Source: RNAcentral